Molecule: long non-coding RNA, 393 nt
Filed under: Lynx pardinus (Iberian lynx)
Lineage: Eukaryota; Metazoa; Chordata; Mammalia; Carnivora; Felidae
Source: RNAcentral
AUUUAUACUGCAGCAGUGCCUGCAUGGAUGUAAGGAACUCCAUCUAAUGGAAAUCCCAUGCCUCAGGCUGAGCUGGAGGGAGCAUCUUGAAUGGCUCAGACCCAGGCCUUCGAGGCAAGGGACGGACACCGUGGUACUUGGUUUGUGGUGGAAUAUCUGGAAAAAGCAUUGGUUACAUAUUUGUUACCCUUGGCUAAUGAGUCCCAGUCAGCGGAGGCUAAGCUGAACACCACACAGGCAGCAGACCAUCAGCUCGCUUCUCGUGGAUGCAAAGAAGAUGUCAGGGGAAUCAGGCCUUGUCUUUUCAUGUAACCUGGCAGCUGAUUUCCCCCUUAAUUAGUUACAAUACUAUUCACACAAAACAAAGGAUUUUGUUAUUUUUUUUUAAACAAA